UUAAUGAAGGCAGGUAUUACGGGAGGAGUUCUCUAUUUUUGUAGACAAAGGAAGAAGAUCAAAAUCAUUUUUUAUCGAAACUCUGCACCAAAGCAGGUGGCCUUUCCCAGAGAUAAACAGGCUACGUUUUCAAGAGAUAAGUGGGGGGCAAGGGAGUUGUUCAAUAGGAAAAGCAAAUUGACCAUCAUGGCAGAUUGAGUUCUUUCUCUUUACAAGGAACAAAUAACGAACAAAGAGAGUUGGUUUUUCUUUCAGAAAAAGCAAGGAAAAGACCUCCAUGAAAGCUGAUUGUUGAUAGCUCUUCUCUGCCAAAAUAAAUAGCUUCCUUCUUUUAUGCCAUUAAAAAGAAAAGAUCUUUUAAAGAUUUGCCGCCCAUUUAAAAAAAGAAAAAGAAAAAAAAAGAAAGAUUAAAAAUCCCUACUCCAGCAUUUUCUAUAAAUAUGAGAGGAGGUGAACAGAUCGAAGGAUAACCAAAAAAUCAAUCAAGACAAAAACUCUCAAAAUCACAAUUA
This 512-nucleotide long non-coding RNA is filed under the name Prunus persica (peach). RNAcentral's name for it is "long non-coding RNA (PPER_LNC000829)". Lineage: Eukaryota; Viridiplantae; Streptophyta; Magnoliopsida; Rosales; Rosaceae. The record is from RNAcentral.